GUCCCUUCGGGGACAUCCGAUAAAAUUGGAAAUAUACAGAGAAUAUUAGCAUGGCCCAAGGAUGACACGUACAAAACGAAAAAUCUAUAUAUGUAU
This 96-nucleotide small nuclear RNA is filed under the name Marchantia polymorpha subsp. ruderalis. Lineage: Eukaryota; Viridiplantae; Streptophyta; Marchantiopsida; Marchantiales; Marchantiaceae. The record is from RNAcentral.